RNAcentral lists this transfer RNA (92 nucleotides) under Desulfovibrio sp. RNAcentral's name for it is "tRNA-Ser". It matches the Rfam family "tRNA". Rfam says of the family: Transfer RNA (tRNA) molecules are approximately 80 nucleotides in length. Lineage: Bacteria; Pseudomonadati; Thermodesulfobacteriota; Desulfovibrionia; Desulfovibrionales; Desulfovibrionaceae. The record is from RNAcentral.
GGAGAGGUGUCCGAGUUGGCCUAAGGAGCACGAUUGGAAAUCGUGUGUCGGCUAAUCACCGACCGUGAGUUCGAAUCUCACCCUCUCCGCCA